This 468-nucleotide ribosomal RNA is filed under the name uncultured bacterium. RNAcentral's name for it is "partial 16S ribosomal RNA". It matches the Rfam family "Bacterial small subunit ribosomal RNA", at positions 28 to 507 of the family's 1533-position model. The record is from RNAcentral.
GACGAACGCUGGCGGCGUGCUUAACACAUGCAAGUCGAACGGAAAGGCCCUGCUUUUGUGGGGUGCUCGAGUGGCGAACGGGUGAGUAACACGUGAGUAACCUGCCCUUGACUUUGGGAUAACUUCAGGAAACUGGGGCUAAUACCGGAUAGGAGCUCCUGCUGCAUGGUGGGGGUUGGAAAGUUUCGGCGGUUGGGGAUGGACUCGCGGCUUAUCAGCUUGUUGGUGGGGUAGUGGCUUACCAAGGCUUUGACGGGUAGCCGGCCUGAGAGGGUGACCGGCCACAUUGGGACUGAGAUACGGCCCAGACUCCUACAGGAGGCAGCAGUGGGAAAUAUUGCACAAUGGGCGGAAGCCUGAUGCAGCAACGCCGCGUGCGGGAUGACGGCCCUCGGGUUGUAAACCGCUUUCGCCUGUGACGAAGCGUGAGUGACGGUAAUGGGUAAAGAAGCACCGGCUAACUACGUG